This 74-nucleotide transfer RNA is filed under the name Anopheles stephensi (Asian malaria mosquito). It matches the Rfam family "tRNA". Rfam says of the family: Transfer RNA (tRNA) molecules are approximately 80 nucleotides in length. Their secondary structure includes four short double-helical elements and three loops (D, anti-codon, and T loops). The record is from Rfam by way of RNAcentral. Lineage: Eukaryota; Metazoa; Arthropoda; Insecta; Diptera; Culicidae.
AGCAGAGUGGCGCAGUGGAAGCGCGCAUGGGCUUGAAACCCUAGAGGUCCGUAGAUCGAAACUACGCUCUGCUG